UACGGAGGGGGCUAGCGUUGUUCGGAAUCACUGGGCGUAAAGCGCACGUAGGCGGCGGGUUUAGUCAGAGGUGAAAGGCCCGGGCUCAACCCCGGAAUAGCCUUUGAUACUAGAAGGCUUGAAUCUUUGAGAGGGUGGUGGAAUUCCGAGUGUAGAGGUGAAAUUCGUAGAUAUUCGGAAGAACACCAGUGGCGAAGGCGACUGACUGGACAAGUAUUGACGCUGAGGUGCGAAAGCGUGGGGAGCAAACAGG
Molecule: ribosomal RNA, 253 nt
Filed under: uncultured bacterium
Lineage: Bacteria
Description: partial 16S ribosomal RNA
Rfam family: Bacterial small subunit ribosomal RNA
Source: RNAcentral